Molecule: small RNA, 826 nt
Filed under: Oryza sativa Japonica Group (Japanese rice)
Lineage: Eukaryota; Viridiplantae; Streptophyta; Magnoliopsida; Poales; Poaceae
Description: sRNA Os02g0597850
Source: RNAcentral
CCUGCAUUUCAAGUUGCAUAUACCGAUGUAGAACUUGAGAAGUUAUUUUUUCGAAGGAAUAAAUCUUUAGAAGUAAGAACAAGGAAAAUGCCAGAGUAAAUCAACGAAAAGGAAAAUGUACCACAAAACAGUGGUAUAGUGGUCUUUCUUUUCCUUCUCCAACUGCAUCAAAUGUGGCCAUUACUGGAGCGAGAAAACCAUACACCACACCAAUUAGGACACUUCCCACGAUCCCGACAAUGAGCCAUAAGACUAAAAUCACAGAUGCGGCGACAAGAAGAAGCAGCUUUACAACAGGCCCGACAAGCUUGGAUCUGCUUUCCGAAAAAAAGAUGACAAGCAUAUAUAAGUACAGUUUUCAUAAUUAUGUGGUAAUUCUCUUUGGAACGGAUCUGUACUGAGUUGUGAAUCCUAAACCUGAUGAUGCAGUAGUAUGUCCAGAUCACAUGCAUAGGCCAUAAGCCAAGAACGAGUGCAGAGAUUCCGAUCAUCAUGAUAAGCCAUGCCCAUGGGAAGAGCAAAGCACCUGCAUAGGCAAAAUUAACACGUAGGGAGGAAUUGCAAGUCAGAAUCUGAGGUUCAAAAAUGGGAACAUGGGACGGCAAAAAUUACUAAGUAGUAUUUGAUCAUAUGCUGAAAAGGCAUUUAAGUUCGUACAACGAUUUUGCAUUCUGGAAUUUACAGAUACCUAGUACCGUACUUCAAUUCCCCUUUUGCAAUGGACAGUUGCAAUCAGUCUAAAUGAAGUGCAAGUGACGAACUCCAGCUGAACCAGAACAAAAAAAAAAAGAGAGGCUAAAAUCCAAAAAACUUUAACUAAUCAGCC